UUAUUGUUUAACUAUGGCAAGAGGAAAUUAUAUAGUGACUUAGCUGCAUAAAUUACUUGUUUGCUGUAUGCUUUAAGAUUUUUUUUGCGAUAAUUAGCAGCUAGUAUUUUGGUAGAAUUGACGUUUUCUAGGAUGUCACUAUAAAAAAGGGGAUAGGACACAGUGCCAGCAUCCGCGGUUAAUCUGUUUUCUUUGUUUUCGGUUGAAUAAACGUUUGAGCAGUUAUUGACAAAGUUAGGUGAAAUUUUUUUGUUUUUACUCUUUAUGCUCAGAUUGUGCUGAGGUAGUGUUUUGCAACAGGGAUUAGAUACCCCACUAGCAACUACUGUAUAAUUUUUAGUUUUGCAACUAAAAUAGUUUGGCAGCGAGUUACUCCUAUCGGGGGAAGGUGUGUUAUAAAGGACGAUCCGCCAAUCACUUAACCUGUGCUAUGUUGGUGUAUAUCUGGUUUGAUAUUAUUGCUUAAUAGCUUGAAUUUGUGUAAAUUAUCUUUAAGCCAAGUCUAUGUGCUGCUUGUAUAGGGUUUCAUGCGUUACUAUUAUAAUAAGUCUUAUGAAAUUAUGAUUUUUUCAGGACUCGCAAGUAAGAUAGAAUUAGGUUGUCUGUCUGAAUAAGGUUUAACUCGGGUACACACCGCCCGUCACCCUCGGCAUGUGUUGAGGUAAGUCGUAACAUGGUAGCCCUAAAUGAAUUUGGGGUUAAUUGGCA
Molecule: ribosomal RNA, 708 nt
Filed under: Rhinebothrium taeniuri
Lineage: Eukaryota; Metazoa; Platyhelminthes; Cestoda; Rhinebothriidea; Rhinebothriidae
Description: 12S ribosomal RNA
Source: RNAcentral